Lineus longissimus is the source of this 1732-nucleotide long non-coding RNA. RefSeq lists it as uncharacterized. The record is from RefSeq and is a predicted model, not a curated record. The transcript has 3 exons. NCBI's taxonomy places the organism in Eukaryota, Metazoa, Nemertea, Pilidiophora, Heteronemertea, Lineidae.
UUGCACCCCAGCCUCAAACACAAAUUUCUGCCCAACUUUUUUCAACUAAAAACCCCGGAAUCAACAUAUAAAUCAACAAUCAUGGUCAGUGUGGUUUUGCUACUUCUCCAGGCAUACUUUAGUGAGGGUAUAGCCAUAGAAAAGCGACGAAGAGCUUGUCAGUGGUGGGUGUCAGGACAUGGUCCAAGUGGACGCAUUCAGCACCUCAUGCUGAAAAUGCCGAAGAAAGAUAACGAUUGAUCAUGAUAGAAAAACUCCAGUAACCUUCCUUGGAUCUGGCAUCAUUUCCGGCCAACCUCGUGGAAAGUGAGGAAUUUAUCGUGCUCGUUCGAAUUUGCAAUAACUGCGUGAUGUGUAGUUUCUCGCAUGACAAUUGGACUGUGCAAUAAUUGGACUUAUUGACCAUGCAGCAUCACCAUUUGGCCUCGUGAUACCUUUGGACAAACUGAAACUGGAUUCAGGGAUUCAAAGAAUACGUUUGUAGAAAAGUUGUUGGUAUCUUCAUUAAUAUUGGGUUUUCGAUGUCAUAAAACUUAGAAUAACAUUUUGUGAACAAAUUUGCCAUCAAGAACCUGUCAAAAUUGUCGACAUUAAUGUAUUCACCCUUCCACAGGAAGAGGAAGUAAGGGUAUUGAAUCCCCAGACCCAAGGGGUUUUGAAAAAGGGUCUUAAAUCGUUCCCUUCCUCAUGUCUUGUGUAACUAUGUAUGCAAUACCCCUCAAAGCCAGAAAGUUGCCCAAGACAACCAAAUUUGAAUAAUUCUUAACUACAACAGGAAGUAGGGGAAAUUUAGCAUGUGUAAGGGUCUAAACAAGGGUCCCAAAUCAUCCCCCUGAGCCGGCAGUCUUUGGGAACCGAGCGUGUAAUCGUUCCUCUAAGCUGUAGUGUGUCGCAUGUUACCCAGCAUCCCGCGCUCUGUGGGAAAGCGACCAAUUAACGAGCGAUUGCCUUCGUGGCUGCGGAUAUAGCCCCGCAGCUCCGGGCGCGAUAAGGGCCAAACCCGCGACAAACUUCCCGUGGAUUACCUCAGCCCCUUACAAGUGUUGGGUCCCUUGCACAGUGGGAAGGAAAUCUGCUGAGGAAAAUUACCAAAUAUUGUGAAUUGACAAAAUAUUUUGUGCAUUCCAAAGAAGGGGCAAUGUUUAAAAGUAUCAGCGAUGCUGUCAGUUUAACUUGGAAUCAAGUUUGAGUCUGUUUCAAGUCACCUUGCCAGCAAUAGUUGUACAGUCACUGUAUAUCGAUGUGCAGCAAUGAGAUGGAUGUCUGGUCAAGUAAUGGUGAAAAUAUCUUCAAAAUCUUGGUAAAGUUACCGAGGCAUAACUGAGUGAUUUUGAGUGCUCAUUGCAGGGCUAUUAGAAGGGGAGCAUGUUUGACAGCGACCUAACACCCCUGGUGAGAGCUGUCAUCAGAUUAUAAGGGUUCCCUUCAUUUUGUCCUCAUUUAGCAAGUAGUUGACUGAUAUGAAAAUAGGGGAUAAUUCUGCUUAUUUUCUUUGCAACAGGAUGUACAAUUGUUGGGGUAAUUCGUACACAUAUAUUUUGUCAUUUUGUCAUUUUACAUGAGUGAAUAUAUCUGUAUUUUUCUGUGAAAUGCGAAGUUGAUAUGAUGUAUGUCUAAAAAUUUGAAUCAAAAGUAUGUAUAACAUGAUAAUGCCAGUGGCAACUGAGAUUUUAUAUUCAGAUUUCAUAUAUUUAUAAAUUUGUAAAAGAUAAUGAUGAUAAUAAAGUAAUAA